Molecule: ribosomal RNA, 654 nt
Filed under: uncultured eukaryote
Lineage: Eukaryota
Description: SSU rRNA
Rfam family: Eukaryotic small subunit ribosomal RNA
Source: RNAcentral
CGGUUAAAAAGCUCGUAGUUGGAUCUUGGAGUGUGAGUGAAUGGUCGAUCGAAAGAUUGUACUGUUCGGCACACUCUUCUCUUCGGUUGCGUGUGUAGUGCCCUUAACUGAGUGCUGCACUCGACCGGAAUUUUUACCUUGAAAAAAUUAGAGUGUUCAAAGCAGACCUGAUUAUGUCUGAAUAUUCGUGCAUGGAAUAAUAAAAUAAGAACUUGGUUCUAUUUUAUUGGUUUUCGGAACUCGAGUUAAUGAUUAAGAGGGACAGACGGGGGCAUCCGUACUCUGCCGUUAGAGGUGAAAUUCUUGGAUCGGCGGAAGACGCGCAACUGCGUAAGCAUUUGCCAAGAAUGUUUUCUUUAAUCAAGAACGAAAGUCGGAGGUUCGAAGACGAUCAGAUACCGUCCUAGUUUCGACUGUAAACUAUGCUAGCUAACGAUCAGACAGCGUUCUCUACGACUUGUCUGGCAGUUUCCGGGAAACCAAAGCUUUUGGGUUCCGGGGGAAGUAUGGUUGCAAAGCUGAAACUUAAAGGAAUUGACGGAAGGGCACCACCAGGAGUGGAGCCUGCGGCUUAAUUUGACUCAACACGGGGAAACUCACCCGGCCCGGACACAGUGAGGAUUGACAGAUUGAGAGUUCUUUCUAGAUUCUGUG